UACAGAGGGGGCAAGCGUUGUUCGGAAUUACUGGGCGUAAAGGGCGCGUAGGCGGUCCUUCAAGUCAGGCGUGAAAGCCCCGGGCUCGACCUGGGAACCGCGCUUGAGACUGGCGGACUCGAGUUCGGGAGAGGAUGGUGGAAUUCCCAGUGUAGAGGUGAAAUUCGUAGAUAUUGGGAAGAACACCGAUGGCGAAGGCAGCCAUCUGGACCGACACUGACGCUGAGGCGCGAAAGCGUGGGGAGCAAACAGG
RNAcentral lists this ribosomal RNA (253 nucleotides) under uncultured bacterium. Its description in RNAcentral is "partial 16S ribosomal RNA". It matches the Rfam family "Bacterial small subunit ribosomal RNA", at positions 524 to 776 of the family's 1533-position model. The record is from RNAcentral.